AUCCAACCAAUGAAUCCCAAAUAGGAUGAAAUGCGCGUCUUGGAU
Non-coding RNA from Schistosoma curassoni, 45 nucleotides. NCBI's taxonomy places the organism in Eukaryota, Metazoa, Platyhelminthes, Trematoda, Strigeidida, Schistosomatidae. The record is from Rfam.